UACGGAGGGAGCUAGCGUUGUUCGGAAUUACUGGGCGUAAAGCGCACGUAGGCGGCUAUUCAAGUCAGAGGUGAAAGCCCGGGGCUCAACCCCGGAACUGCCUUUGAAACUACGAAGCUAGAGUGUGUCAGAGGGAGGUAGAAUUCCACGUGUAGCAGUGAAAUGCGUAGAGAUGUGGAGGAACACCAGUGGCGAAGGCGACUAACUGGACAUGUAUUGACGCUGAGGUACGAAAGCGUGGGGAGCAACCAGG
This 253-nucleotide ribosomal RNA is filed under the name uncultured bacterium. Its description in RNAcentral is "partial 16S ribosomal RNA". It matches the Rfam family "Bacterial small subunit ribosomal RNA", at positions 524 to 776 of the family's 1533-position model. The record is from RNAcentral.